GUCAGAGUGGCCUAGUGGUUUGAGUGUUGGACUGUGACCCUGGAGACCUGGAUUCAAUUCCCAGCUUGGCCA
RNAcentral lists this transfer RNA (72 nucleotides) under Phrynosoma platyrhinos (Desert horned lizard). RNAcentral describes it as "tRNA-OTHER". Lineage: Eukaryota; Metazoa; Chordata; Lepidosauria; Squamata; Phrynosomatidae. The record is from RNAcentral.